RNAcentral lists this ribosomal RNA (406 nucleotides) under uncultured bacterium. Its description in RNAcentral is "partial 16S ribosomal RNA". It matches the Rfam family "Bacterial small subunit ribosomal RNA", at positions 29 to 526 of the family's 1533-position model. The record is from RNAcentral.
AUUGAACGCUGGCGGCAGGCCUAACACAUGCAAGUCGAACGAGUGGGGGAAGGGGGAGAAAGGUCUGGGAAACGGCCCGAUGGAGGGGGAUAACUCAGGGAAACGGUAGCUAAUACCGCAUACCAUCGGAUGUGCCCAGAUGGGAUUAGCUAGUAGGUGGGGUAACGGCUCACCUAGGCGACGACCCCUAGCUGGUCUGAGAGGAUGACCAGCCACACUGGAACUGAGACACGGUCCAGACUCCUACGGGAGGCAGCAGUGGGGAAUAUUGCACAAUUGGCGCAAGCCUGAUGCAGCCAUGCCGCGUGUAUGAAGAAGGCCUUCGGGUUGUAAAGUACUUUCAGCGAGGAGGCGUUACUCGCAGAAGAAGCACCGACUAACUCCGUGCCAGCAGCCGCGGUAAUUC